AUCAAUAACUGAAGCAUAAUAUAGGAAGAUGGAGUAAUUUGGAUAUAUUUUCUUUUCAUACCAAAAGUAUCACUUAUAUCACAGAAAUGAUUAAUACUAGCUACAAUUUCAAUAUGAGAGGAUGCAAGGAUUACUAAUUUCAUUAUUUCUUCCAUUUUGGUCACUCUUCUUAAUUAUAUUUUAAGUUCCAUUCUUUAACACGUGUCUAGAGAUCCCAUUGUCCAGAUAGCAUCUUUCAUUGGAAUCUUGGGUAGCUAGACACAUUUGCUAAAAAUGAUCAUGUUUUCAACUUAGAAACCCAAGCUCUU
Molecule: long non-coding RNA, 308 nt
Filed under: Phoenix dactylifera (date palm)
Lineage: Eukaryota; Viridiplantae; Streptophyta; Magnoliopsida; Arecales; Arecaceae
Description: long non-coding RNA (PDAC_LNC022302)
Source: RNAcentral